This 27-nucleotide non-coding RNA is filed under the name Bombyx mori (domestic silkworm). The record is from RNAcentral. Lineage: Eukaryota; Metazoa; Arthropoda; Insecta; Lepidoptera; Bombycidae.
UUUAGAACGUAAGAUGAUGGCAUCUCC